GAUGAACGCUGGCGGCGUGCUUAACACAUGCAAGUCGAACGAGAAGUGGAGACGGACACCUUCGGGCGGAAGACUUUAUUUCGAGUGGCGGACGGGUGAGUAACGCGUGGGUAACCUGCCUCAUACAGGGGGAUAACAGUUGGAAACGACUGUUAAUACCGCAUAAGACCACAGCACCGCAUGGUGCGGGGGUAAAAACUCCGGUGGUAUGAGAUGGACCCGCGUUCGAUUAGCCAGUUGGCGGGGUAACGGCCCACCAAAGCGACGAUCGAUAGCCGAUCUGAGAGGAUGACCGGCCACAUUGGGACUGAGACACGGCCCAAACUCCUACGGGAGGCAGGAGUGGGGAAUAUUGCACAAUGGGGGAAACCCUGAUGCAGCGACGCCGCGUGAGUGAAGAAGUAUUUCGGUAUGUAAAGCUCUAUCAGCAGGGAAGAAAAUGACGGUACCUGAGUAAGAAGCCCCGGCUAACUACGUG
Molecule: ribosomal RNA, 478 nt
Filed under: uncultured bacterium
Lineage: Bacteria
Description: partial 16S ribosomal RNA
Rfam family: Bacterial small subunit ribosomal RNA
Source: RNAcentral